CUUUGACGACCACGGGGACACCGGUGUCCCAAAUAGAAAUAAUACAAUAAAACAGUAAUUAAAAAACUUAUUUUAUCUUUUUGUUAUUUUAUCUUAUAGUUUUUGAACGUACGUUUUUCAUUUUAUAUGCUGGCAACACAAAAAAAAUAUUGUUCUUUGUCUAUGGCUAUCGAAAACUGAGACUUCGUUAAGCGCGCGAAUCGAGUAUUUUGUAACAGUACAUAAAAGGUGUAAAACUAUUUUUUAAGAAUUUACAGUGUGAAAUAAUCAUAGCCUGAUUAUGUUUCGCAAAGGACGCGGCCUUUUCGAACUUAAAGAAAAUGAAGUGCAACAGAUUUUGAUGGCUGAUAACAGUGACGAAGAGGACAAUUUACUGCUUGACGAAGAUCAAAGGCUUUUGACUCAGGAUGAUGAUCAAGGGAUUGUGGACGUGGAAAUUGACGGUACGAUAACUGAACAUACUGACUCAACAAGACCUGAGCCUUCCACAUCAGCACCUGUAAACGAAGCACAGCAUCAACCCGUCUUCAAGUGGAAUUCGAGAACAUACGCACCAAAUGUUUUUCGUGAUGUGGAAUACGACUUCGGGAAAGUGCAAAUCUGUCAAGAAGCUGAAAAUGGACUAUUGACUCCCUUUGAUAUAUUUUGUUCAGCGACAAAUUUUUAUAAUUUAGUGCAAUAUAUAGUACCGGAGUCAAUACAAUAUGCUCAUCAAAAUGGACGGGAGUUUACUAUUGAUCUCGAAGAAAUGAAAGCAUUUCUUGGGAUGAAUGUAGUCAUGGGCUAUCAUAUCUUGCCAUCAUUGAGGGACUACUGGUCUACAGAACCAGACAUGGCAGUACAAUUCAUAUCGAAUGUUAUGCCAAGGGCUCGAUUUGAAGACAUUCGCCGGAACCUACAUUUCUGUAACAACGAAGCGGUAAGAGACACAACUAGCUCUAAUUAUGAUAGGGCAUACAAAGUUCGGCCAAUAAUAGAGCAUUUCAAUGUAUCGUUUCAAAAUGCCCUCAAUAACACAGUAAAACAAUCAAUCGACGAGCAUAUGAUAAAAUUUAAGGGUCAUAAUGUAAUGAAGCAAUACAUAAAAAAUAAGCCUGUCAAAUGGGGCUUCAAAUUAUGGUGCCGAUGUGAUGCUGCGACCGGUUAUCUAUUUGAAUUUGAUCUAUAUACGGGCAAACGAACUUCUGGAAUCGAGUAUGGAUUAGGUGAAUCAAUAGUACUACAGCUAACGAAAAAGGUUGAAGGCUUAGGAUGUGAAAUUUAUAUGGACAACUUCUUUAAUUCACCUUUACUACAAUAUAAGCUGAUUGAUCAGAAUACUAAGGCGUGUGGAACAAUUCGAACUAACAGGAAACAACUUCCAAAAACUGCACCUGCUGACAAAACAAUGAAGAGUGGCGAUAUUUACUCAACGAGUUUCCAUGGCAUAAGUUAUGUCAAAUGGAUGGAUAAUAAAGGAGUACAUUUGUUGACCAACUUUUGAAGCCUGUAGAAACGGACAUCGUAAAGCGCCGCAAAGCUGAUUCAGCCGACAAAAUUGAUGUCAAAUGUCCUAGGAUUGUGUCACAUUUAAUAAAAAUAUGGGUGGAGUAGAUCUUAUGGAUCAACGUAAGGUGUGCUAUGAAAUAGAUCGAAGAUCGAAGAUAGAGUACUACCUUCGCCUUUUCUUCGAUUUGUUCGAUAUAUCGGUAAAUAAUGCGCAUACCAUAUAUACUAAGCUGCACAGUGAAAAGCAAUUAGAGGGAAGCCUGCUGUCCACCUUACAGUUCAGACAGGUAGUCGCCAGGAGUUUGGUAAACGGCUACAGUACUAGACAACGUGGAGUCCCUACUACAAAAAAUAGUGCAGUGAGCAAAUAUGUGAAGCGGCAAUUAUCGAUGCACCCCAUGGAAAAAUCCUCCACCAGAAAGAGUUUUAGGACUUACAAACAACCGUUAUGUGAACAAAACUAUAAUACUUUCCUUAGCAACUUUGUUGCGAGAGUAUAAAAACAACACGAAACAGUUCCGUGUUCUGGUUCCCAAAUCAAAAUAAAAAAAAAAAGUAAGGAAGGGCUAAGUUCGGGUGUCACCGAACAUUUUAUACUCUCGCAUGGUAAAGUGAUAAUCGAGAUUUCAUAAUACGUCAUUUACAUAUUUUUCAAAUACCGUAUUUUUGUAAAGUUUUAUUCCGCUAUCAUCAUUGGUUCCUAAUGUUUAUACUCGUAUUAUACAGAGAAGGCAUCAGAUGGAAUUCAAAAUAGCUUUAUAUUGGAAGAAGGCGUGGUUGUGAACCGAUUUCACCCAUAUUUCGUACAUGUCAUCAGGGUGUUAAGAAAAUAUUAUAUACCGAAUGUCAUUAAAAUCGGUCUAGUAGCUUCUGAGAUAUGGUUCUUGGUCCAUAAGUGGGCGGCGCCACGCCCAUUUAAAAUUUAAAAAAAAAGCCUGGGUGCAGCUUCCUUCUGCCACUUCUUCCGUAAAAUUUAGUGUUUCUGACGUUUUUUGUUAGUCGGUUAACGCACUUUUAGUGAUUUUCAACAUAACCUUUGUAUGGGA
Molecule: RNA transcript, 2534 nt
Organism: Bactrocera neohumeralis
Lineage: Eukaryota; Metazoa; Arthropoda; Insecta; Diptera; Tephritidae
Gene name: piggyBac transposable element-derived protein 4-like
Exons: 3
Source: RefSeq, a predicted model, not a curated record